CCCUUAGAUGUUCUGGGCCGCACGCGUGCUACACUGAGUGGAUCAGCGGGUCAGGUUACGCGAGAGCGUUUCCUAAUCUUUAAAUCCGCUCGUGAUGGGGAUUGACGGUUGCAAUUUUCCGUCAUGAACGAGGAAUACCUUGUAAGCGCGGGUCAUCAUCCCGCGCUGAAUACGUCCCUGCCCUUUGUACACACCGCCCGUCGCUCCUACCGAUUGAGUGGUCCGGUGAGGCUUUGGGAUCUGAGCGGAAAGAGCGUUUCGCUGUUUCUGCCCGGAAAACUCAGUCGAACCUUAUCAUUUAGAGGAAGGAGAAGUCGUAACA
RNAcentral lists this ribosomal RNA (322 nucleotides) under uncultured eukaryote. Its description in RNAcentral is "partial 18S ribosomal RNA". It matches the Rfam family "Eukaryotic small subunit ribosomal RNA", at positions 1470 to 1796 of the family's 1831-position model. The record is from RNAcentral.